Molecule: RNA transcript, 2035 nt
Organism: Scophthalmus maximus (turbot)
Lineage: Eukaryota; Metazoa; Chordata; Actinopteri; Pleuronectiformes; Scophthalmidae
Gene name: LAT2 domain-containing protein
Exons: 11
Source: RefSeq, a predicted model, not a curated record
CAUGACGUCACGGAAGAGCGAGCGAAUGAACGGGAUUCAGGAUGCGAAGUUUUCAAAUUCUCCACUCCCGAACUUUAAGUGUCAUGAUUUCAUUUAAUUUGUCCAUGGAGACAUUAACCCUUACAACAACAAAAAACACUCUUUUACUUUGAAGAAUAUGCAAAUGAAAUUAAAACAGAAAACAAAAACAAUAAAUAACUAUACUAAACCAAAAAUGAUCGUACCAUUGCAGACAGACAAAAAUAAUAAACAAAACACAAAGGACCAACCAUGAACAUUAAUUCAAUCAAUCCACACCAGUGGGAAGAAGAAUAAUUUAUUUAAUCCCACCCCUUCUCCAUAAUUGGUCAUAUUUUAUCAUUUAUACAUUUUUUAAUAAUUCGAAUUAAUUAUAUAUUAAUCAUCGAUAAUCUUUCUUUUAUAACAAGAUAUACAUUAAUUUCAGCAUAUUUGUCCCGGAUCUUAUUCUUUUCCCUUAUAUUAACUACAACUAUAUAUUCUUUUAUAUUAUAAUAUAAGGCUAUAAAAUGUAAUGCAAUAUAAAUCACAUGUAGUGUACAAUAUCUGUCAAUCAUUACAAUAUAAUAUGCACUACAAGAUAAACCAUAUAUGAUCAUCUAUUUUUAUAUAUUUAGAUAAUUCAUUUAUCUUGUUUGCUUCCUUGCUAUUUGACUGAUACUUAAUUUUGUGUGAUGGAUAUUUCAUUGAAAUAUGUUGUCUGUUCAUGGCCUUGUUCUGUUAAUUGUUUGUACUUAGGGCACAGAGGGCGACUGAUGAGUAGGACAAAGAAGAUGAUGUGGAAUCCCAUGUUCAUGGAUUAUUCCUUAAUUUGUCACUCAUCUGUAUAUAUCAGUCCUUAUUUUGGCAGCAAUUACAACAGUGUCUACUCUGGUAUGAUGUGACAAGCUUUGCAUACCUGGAUUUGGGGAUUUUUCAGUCACCGACUGACCUCAAGUAGCUGGGUUGUGGUCACAGCUGGGGUUUUUUCGAGGCCUUGAGAAUUUUGAAUGCUGUUUUUCACCUCACCAAAAUUACACAUUUCAGUGGCAUAUGUAGUUUUGAAUGGUACUUAGAUUUAACUAUUGGACUCUAGUCAGUUACUUUGGCUUUGCAAAGCGGAGAAACAGCUACGCUGAAAACCGCACAGAGACUGAAGAUGUGUGCUUCGGGGAGGUAUUGAGAGUGGGCGGAUGUGGCGAGGUGUUGAAAGAGGAAGCACAGCUUGUGCUGCUGCUGGUGAAGAAUGAAGGCAGCUGGACCACUGAAGGUAUGUCUGGGAACUCCAGUCUGUUGGCUGCAGUUCUGACUGUUGUGUCAGUGGUGUCACUGAGUCUGCUGUCUCUUCUCUGCCUGCGCUGUAAAAGGAAGUCCAAGGUCAUACACGAGGAGCUCCAGGCAUAUGAUCUGCCGACAUUCCAACGCGGGGGGAGUGUUUUUGCUGUGAUGCAAUCAAAACCAGUGAAAUCCCAGAGGAAUCAUCAGCAGCCUAUGAAUCGUCAGACUAUGAAAAUGUCAAACAAGAUAAAAGACGAUGAGGAUGACUAUGAGAACUCUGAAUUCCUGGAACAAACUGCGCAGCAAAGUCAAGAUGCAACUUGGCUGUCAACUGUACCUGCUCAGCACCAAACAGCAGACAGACACAGUCAGCAACUAUCUGAUGAGCAGAGAAGAGAAUUUAAAGAACGGGAUAUUUUCCUCAAGAAGUUGGUGGAGACCGAGAACAGGAGAGUUAAAAAGGAUUGAAUAUUGGAUUUAUAUUCAUCAAGUGUCCAGAACCAUGACUCCAAAUGAAAGCCAAUGCUGUUCUAUUAAUGUUGUGCACCAAAGCAACUGUUUGCAAAUGAUGAGGAGCCAGAUUAUGUGAACGAGGACGAGCGCCUGAUCAGGACCAUCAGAAAACAUCAGUGAAAAGAUGCAAACAGACGGAACUGUCUGUUGUUCCUCACUGAAAGUAUUUUUUUAAUAGUUUUUUUUAUUCCUUGUAUGUGUGUCAAAUGAUGUGGACUGCUGUGUGAAUAAAAACGUAUGAACCGUG